This 465-nucleotide ribosomal RNA is filed under the name uncultured bacterium. Its description in RNAcentral is "bacterial SSU rRNA". It matches the Rfam family "Bacterial small subunit ribosomal RNA", at positions 338 to 795 of the family's 1533-position model. The record is from RNAcentral.
CCUANGUGAGGCAGCAGUGGGGAAUUUUGGACAAUGGGCGAAAGCCUGAUCCAGCCAUGCCGCGUGAGUGAAGAAGGCCUUCGGGUUGUAAAGCUCUUUCAGCCGGAAAGAAAUCGUGCAACCUAAUACGUUGUAUGGAUGACGGUACCGGAAGAAGAAGCACCGGCUAACUACGUGCCAGCAGCCGCGGUAAUACGUAGGGUGCGAGCGUUAAUCGGAAUUACUGGGCGUAAAGCGUGCGCAGGCGGUUUUGUAAGACAGACGUGAAAUCCCCGGGCUUAACCUGGGAACUGCGUUUGUGACUGCAAGGCUAGAGUACGGCAGAGGGGGGUAGAAUUCCACGUGUAGCAGUGAAAUGCGUAGAUAUGUGGAGGAAUACCGAUGGCGAAGGCAGCCCCCUGGGUCGAUACUGACGCUCAUGCACGAAAGCGUGGGGAGCAAACAGGAUUAGAUACCCCGNUANUC